RNAcentral lists this ribosomal RNA (484 nucleotides) under uncultured bacterium. Its description in RNAcentral is "partial 16S ribosomal RNA". It matches the Rfam family "Bacterial small subunit ribosomal RNA", at positions 28 to 507 of the family's 1533-position model. The record is from RNAcentral.
AUUGAACGCUGGCGGCAUGCUUUACACAUGCAAGUCGAACGGCAGCGCGGGCUUCGGCCUGGCGGCGAGUGGCGAACGGGUGAGUAAUGCAUCGGAACGUGCCCAGUAGUGGGGGAUAGCCCGGCGAAAGCCGGAUUAAUACCGCAUACGACCUGAGGGUGAAAGCGGGGGACCGAAAGGCCUCGCGCUAUUGGAGCGGCCGAUGCCGGAUUAGCUAGGUGGUGGGGUAAAGGCUUACCAAGGCGACGAUCCGUAGCUGGUCUGAGAGGACGACCAGCCACACUGGGACUGAGACACGGCCCAGACUCCUACGGGAGGCAGCAGUGGGGAAUUUUGGACAAUGGGGGCAACCCUGAUCCAGCCAUGCCGCGUGCGGGAAGAAGGCCUUCGGGUUGUAAACCGCUUUUGUUCGGGAAGAAAUCCUCUGGGCUAAUACCCCGGGGGGAUGACGGUACCGGAAGAAUAAGCACCGGCUAACUACGUG